GACCGCGAUAUUAACGCGGCUAAGAACAUGCUUGCGGUCGGGCAUGGCCGUCCAGUAGUGGGAAUCCCCGUCCUUUAGGGCGGGGAGGAUGUCAAAGGAUAGGAUUAG
This 108-nucleotide small RNA is filed under the name Azomonas agilis. RNAcentral's name for it is "HgcC family RNA". The record is from RNAcentral. Lineage: Bacteria; Pseudomonadati; Pseudomonadota; Gammaproteobacteria; Pseudomonadales; Pseudomonadaceae.